UUAAAAAGCUCGUAGUUGAAUUUCGGGGUCAGUAGGUCGGUCGUGCCACUGGUAUGAACUGGUUUUACUGAUUCCUCCCUCUUGAAGAACUGUAAUGCCAUUAAUUUGGUGUUGCAGGGAAUCAGGACUGUUACUUUGAAAAGAUUAGAGUGUUUAAAGCAGGCUUUAGCUUGAAUACAUUAGCAUGGAAUAAUGAAAUAGGACGUUUGAUCCUAUUUUGUUGGUUUCUAGGAUUGACGUAAUGAUUAAUAGGGAUAGUUGGGGG
This 265-nucleotide ribosomal RNA is filed under the name uncultured Glomeromycotina. RNAcentral's name for it is "partial 18S ribosomal RNA". It matches the Rfam family "Eukaryotic small subunit ribosomal RNA", at positions 619 to 888 of the family's 1831-position model. The record is from RNAcentral. Lineage: Eukaryota; Fungi; Glomeromycota.